This 254-nucleotide ribosomal RNA is filed under the name uncultured bacterium. Its description in RNAcentral is "partial 16S ribosomal RNA". It matches the Rfam family "Bacterial small subunit ribosomal RNA", at positions 524 to 776 of the family's 1533-position model. The record is from RNAcentral.
UACGGGGGGAGCAAGCGUUGUUCGGAUUUACUGGGCGUAAAGGGCGCGUAGGCGGUCAGCACAAGUCAGUUGUGAAAUCCCCGGGCUUAACCUGGGAACCGCAUUUGUGACUGCAUAGCUGGAGUACGGCAGAGGGGGAUGGAAUUCCGCGUGUAGCAGUGAAAUGCGUAGAUAUGCGGAGGAACACCGAUGGCGAAGGCAGUCCCCUGGGCCUGUACUGACGCUCAUGCACGAAAGCGUGGGGAGCAAACAGG